CCACUGCUCCCCGUUGCAUUCCAGCACUAUAUUUGUAACCUUCUCUAUGAGCAGAUUCAAGCCCCAAGUGACAUUCAGGGUUCAGCCCUACACAGAUUCUAGUAAGCUGCUCCGAGCUGGUGCUCCUAUCUUGAAAUAUUACUACAGUACAUUAUACAUUACCUAUAAUAUCUAUGAUCGAAAUACAUCACAGAAAAACAUAUAUGUGUAUAGCAUUACUCCUCAAGUCUCUUCUAACUAUAUUCUAUAUAUGUUGUUAAUUAGCUGAACCAUCUUUGUUGUGCGCAGGAGCAAAGCAGCAGCUAGCCAGGACGCAGUUCAAUUGGGUAUAAGCUUGAAGCGAGGCUUGGAAAAAGCUGGAGCAGGGUCGUAGCGGCCGUAGUCGUUCGUCUUAACCAUGAGGUUCCUUGG
This 411-nucleotide long non-coding RNA is filed under the name Brachypodium distachyon (stiff brome). Its description in RNAcentral is "long non-coding RNA (BDIS_LNC004721)". The record is from RNAcentral. Lineage: Eukaryota; Viridiplantae; Streptophyta; Magnoliopsida; Poales; Poaceae.